UACGUAGGGUGCGAGCGUUGUCCGGAAUUAUUGGGCGUAAAGAGCUCGUAGGCGGUUUGUCGCGUCGACUGUGGAAACCUACAGCUUAACUGUGGGCUUGCAGUCGAUACGGGCAGACUUGAGUUCGGUAGGGGAGACUGGAAUUCCUGGUGUAGCGGUGAAAUGCGCAGAUAUCAGGAGGAACACCGGUGGCGAAGGCGGGUCUCUGGGCCGUAACUGACGCUGAGGAGCGAAAGCGUGGGGAGCGAACAGG
RNAcentral lists this ribosomal RNA (253 nucleotides) under uncultured bacterium. RNAcentral describes it as "partial 16S ribosomal RNA". It matches the Rfam family "Bacterial small subunit ribosomal RNA", at positions 524 to 776 of the family's 1533-position model. The record is from RNAcentral.